Molecule: ribosomal RNA, 461 nt
Filed under: Xenocylapidius sp. UNSW ENT 00029093
Lineage: Eukaryota; Metazoa; Arthropoda; Insecta; Hemiptera; Miridae
Description: partial 16S ribosomal RNA
Source: RNAcentral
AUCGGGCCUGCUCAUGAUUUAUAUUAAAUAGCCGCAGUAUUUUGACUGUGCAAAGGUAGCAUAAUCAUUUGUCUUUUAAUUGUAGACUGGAAUGAAUGGUUUGAUGAAAAAUAUACUUUCUUUGUUUUAUAUAAAAAAAUUAACUUUUUAGUUAAAAGGCUAAAAUGUUAUUAAAAGACGAGAAGACCCUAUAGAACUUUAUUGCUAUUGUUUAUAUAUAAUUCUUAUAAUUUAUAUAUAGGUAAAUAGUUAUUUUCGUUGGGGUGAUGGAAAAAAAUUAAUAACUUUUUUUAAUAUUUACAUUUAUAUAUGUUUUUUGAUCCAAAAUUUUUGAUUAUAAGAUUAAGUUACCUUAGGGAUAACAGCGUUAUUACUUUGGAGAGUUCUUAUUGAUAAAGUAGUUUGCGACCUCGAUGUUGGAUUAAAAUAAGUUUUAGGUGUAGCGGUUUGAUUACUAAGUC